Molecule: ribosomal RNA, 561 nt
Filed under: uncultured bacterium
Lineage: Bacteria
Description: bacterial SSU rRNA
Rfam family: Bacterial small subunit ribosomal RNA
Source: RNAcentral
CCUACGGGAGGCAGCAGUGGGGAAUAUUGGACAAUGGGCGAAAGCCUGAUCCAGCAAUGCCGCGUGAGUGAUGAAGGCCUUCGGGUCGUAAAGCUCUUUUACCAGGGAUGAUAAUGACAGUACCUGGAGAAUAAGCUCCGGCUAACUCCGUGCCAGCAGCCGCGGUAAUACGGAGGGAGCUAGCGUUGUUCGGAAUUACUGGGCGUAAAGAGUACGUAGGCGGUUAUUCAAGUCAGAGGUGAAAGCCCGGGGCUCAACCCCGGAACUGCCUUUGAAACUAGAUAACUAGAGUCUUGGAGAGGUUAGUGGAAUUCCGAGUGUAGAGGUGAAAUUCGUAGAUAUUCGGAAGAACACCAGUGGCGAAGGCGACUAACUGGACAAGUACUGACGCUGAGGUACGAAAGCGUGGGGAGCAAACAGGAUUAGAUACCCUGGUAGUCCACGCCGUAAACGAUGAUAACUAGUUGUUCGGUCACUUGGUGACUGAGUGACGCAGCUAACGCAUUAAGUUAUCCGCCUGGGGAGUACGGUCGCAAGNUUAAAACUUAAAUGAAUUGACGG